ACCCCAAUAGCCUAAUUAAAAGCACUGUUUUUGUAAACCAGAGAUGGGUCCAACCCUUGGGGUA
RNAcentral lists this transfer RNA (64 nucleotides) under Indotyphlops braminus (Brahminy blind snake). RNAcentral's name for it is "tRNA-Thr". It matches the Rfam family "tRNA". From Rfam's summary of the family: Transfer RNA (tRNA) molecules are approximately 80 nucleotides in length. Their secondary structure includes four short double-helical elements and three loops (D, anti-codon, and T loops). Lineage: Eukaryota; Metazoa; Chordata; Lepidosauria; Squamata; Typhlopidae. The record is from RNAcentral.